RNAcentral lists this ribosomal RNA (492 nucleotides) under uncultured bacterium. Its description in RNAcentral is "partial 16S ribosomal RNA". It matches the Rfam family "Bacterial small subunit ribosomal RNA", at positions 29 to 507 of the family's 1533-position model. The record is from RNAcentral.
AGUGAACGCUGGCGGUAGGCCUAACACAUGCAAGUCGAACGGCAGCACAGUAAGAGCUUGCUCUUACGGGUGGCGAGUGGCGGACGGGUGAGGAAUACAUCGGAAUCUACUUUUUCGUGGGGGAUAACGUAGGGAAACUUAUGCUAAUACCGCAUACGACCUACGGGUGAAAGCAGGGGAUCUUCGGACCUUGCGCGAUUGAAUGAGCCGAUGUCGGAUUAGCUAGUUGGCGGGGUAAAGGCCCACCAAGGCGACGAUCCGUAGCUGGUCUGAGAGGAUGAUCAGCCACACUGGAACGGAGACACGGUCCAGACUCCUACGGGAGGCAGCAGUGGGGAAUAUUGGACAAUGGGCGCAAGCCUGAUCCAGCCAUACCGCGUGGGUGAAGAAGGCCUUCGGGUUGUAAAGCCCUUUUGUUGGGAAAGAAAAGCAGCAGGUUAAUACCCCGCUGUUCUGACGGUACCCAAAGAAUAAGCACCGGCUAACUUCGUG